ACUCCUACGGGAGGCAGCAGUGGGGAAUAUUGCACAAUGGGCGGAAGCCUGAUGCAGCAACGCCGCGUGAGGGAUGACGGCCUUCGGGUUGUAAACCUCUUCUAGCAAGGAAGAAGCGAAAGUGACGGUACUUGCAGAAAAAGCGCCGGCUAACUACGUGCCAGCAGCCGCGGUAAUACGUAGGGCGCAAGCGUUAUCCGGAA
RNAcentral lists this ribosomal RNA (203 nucleotides) under uncultured bacterium. RNAcentral's name for it is "partial 16S ribosomal RNA". It matches the Rfam family "Bacterial small subunit ribosomal RNA", at positions 335 to 550 of the family's 1533-position model. The record is from RNAcentral.